AGCUUGGUCAUCGGUUAAACGUGUGUCUUUGCCAAAAUUUAAACCUUCAUGACACACACCCGGUUUGAUGGAGAGGAAUGGUUUUGGAAUAAAACUUUGUUUUGUGCAAAGAAAGCACUUUGCUUAUAGUGGAUAAAUGAGUCAGGCACAACCUUUUAGUAGAAGCAGAACGCAUUAAGUUUAUGUAGAUAGUGAUGCUGUCCCUGUUGCUUAUAGUGGAUAAAUGAGUCAGACACAACCUUUUAGUAGAAGCAGGACGCAUAAACAGGUAAAGAACUUGUCGAAUGUCGAAUAUGUCUGUCCCUGUUGCUCCAGCUUCUCCUCAUUUCCUCAAGUGGAGCUUUGCCGUGCAUGCCCUAAUAAAGAGAAUCUCUGUCCUGUCCGUUUUGAAAAGAAAAAAAUAUUUGUCCUAUAAAAGCAUCUACAGCCAGACUGGACAAAUCCGGCUGUAUAUACGUCCCUCGUACUUUGCUCUCUGCAUCCACAUCUCAUAUUCAAACUUUUAAAUCCAUGCAAAAUCUUCAAAUCCAUGCAAAAUCUUGUACACAAAACCAAGC
RNAcentral lists this long non-coding RNA (557 nucleotides) under Hordeum vulgare. Its description in RNAcentral is "long non-coding RNA (HVUL_LNC016103)". The record is from RNAcentral. Lineage: Eukaryota; Viridiplantae; Streptophyta; Magnoliopsida; Poales; Poaceae.